GUCAGGUAGGGAGGGGGACGGAGGCUGUCCUGGCUAGGUAAUGUGGGAUGGCCGGGGUCACAUUCGCCACUUGCUGGUUGGGGAGCCAUGGGCAGUCCGUAACUGCCCUCAUGGGGGAAGAAACAGACCCGGAGGGGUUAAGCAGCUCGCACCAGGUCACACAGGCAGAACACGUGGAGCCAGGCUCUGAACCCCAAACCACGUUGCUUCUCAUGAUACAGUGCAUGCAGUGAAGAAAUAUUCUCUGUGAGGAUUAAACAAAAAACUGUAGGAAGUUUUAUCUUGCUGGUUGUUGUUAACGAGGAACUCCAAGGAUCAGUUGUUGAACACCUACUGCGGGCAGAGGCUGCGCUGGGGCCGCCG
Molecule: long non-coding RNA, 363 nt
Organism: Pteronotus mesoamericanus
Lineage: Eukaryota; Metazoa; Chordata; Mammalia; Chiroptera; Mormoopidae
Exons: 3
Source: RefSeq, a predicted model, not a curated record